AUAUUUUUCUAGUGAUCAAAAUGAUAGAAUUAAUUAAAAAAAUAGAAAAUAAUAUGGAAAUGUUAUCGUAAAGAAGCAUUGAUCUAAGAGUGGUUUGUUUAAAAUAACAACCUAAUGGUCAAAAUGAUAAAAUUAAUUAAGAACACAGAAAAGCACAUGGAUAUGUUUAAGAUAAGAGACAUUUUAUGUAGAAGGGUGGUUAUAGACAAAAAUUUAAUCAAAAGUAGGGAUCAUGAAGAAUUUGUUCAUACGUUGGUGUAAUCCUGGUCAAGAACUGGACUUUUGUCUAAUGAUAUCAUUUUAACCUAACGUUUUUUUUCAAUUUUCACCAACAUAUUUGAAAUCCCAUAUAAAGAAACGUGUACUUUAUCCUGAUGCUGAACCGACAAUUUAUAACAACUUAUUUUUAUAUGACAAACAUUUUAUCCCAAAAGCAAAAAUAUAAAAGUUAUAACUGGUAAAUCAUAGAAAACGUACGUUAAUUGUGUUGUGUGUAAGAAAUCAGUACUGAAAUGUAACGGCAUCAGUAUUUCUGUACACGCAUUUCCAUUGUUUUUGACAAAUAGCAUAAAUGAUGUAAUGAUGGUGAAAAAAAAUUGCAAGCGCUAUUUAAAUAAAAUGCUUAUUUUCUAAACUCAACAGCUAGCCCGUAAACUAGUACGCCAUAUUCAAAAUAUUUUACUGGCAAUGCAUAUAAUGAAGACAACUCAAAUAAUUGCUCAGUUUUUACAGUUUCUUCCACAAUUAUUAAUGGAAAUAUAUACUAUAAACACAACUCAGAUAAUUGCUCAACUUCUUCAGAAUCAUCCACAAUUGUUAAUGAAAAUUAAUACAAUGAAGAAUGCUCUCUCUAUGAUGGUGACCUCUACAUAUAACACAUGGAUUAAUAUUAUGAGUAAUAGAGUUUAUUCUACUUCAGGUAGGUUUUAUUCAUGUGUAAUUCCAUUAAGUAGAUUAUUCUUUAAAACUUUUAAUCAAUUCAAAAUGCAUUACCGUCGUCACCGUAAUGAUAAUGAUAUGGUGUGCGGGAGAUGUAACAAAAUGUUUCCUUACAAGAGCAAAAUGCGCAAACAAAGUAUAAAGAUUUUUGCAAGUUUUCUGGUAUGUUUGUCUGUGUUUUGUGUAUCGAAUCAUUAAACGAAAUUCAAAUAUAAGCCAUCAUAAAUAAAUCACGCACAUUCAGAAUUAACCAAAAAAAAAAAAAAAUUGGUCAAAAUGAUAAAAUUAAUUAAGAACACAGAAAAGCACAUGGAUAUGUUUAAGAUAAGAGACAUUUUAUGUAGAAGGGUGGUUAUUGACAAAAAUGUAAUCAAAAGUAGGGAUCAUGAAGAAUUUGUUCAUAAGUUGGUGUAAUCCUGGUCAAAAACUGGACUUUUGUCUUAUGACACCAUUUUAACCUAACGUUUUUUUUCAAUUUUCACCAACAUAUUUGAAAUCCCAUAUAAAGAAACGUGUACUUUAUCCUGAUGCUGAACCGACAAUUUAUAACAACUUAUUUUUAUAUGACAAACAUUUUAUCCCAAAAGCAAAAAUAUAAAAGUUAUAACUGGUAAAUCAUAGAAAACGUAUGUUAAUUGUGUUGUG
This is a long non-coding RNA of Aphis gossypii (cotton aphid), 1584 nucleotides long. RefSeq lists it as uncharacterized. NCBI's taxonomy places the organism in Eukaryota, Metazoa, Arthropoda, Insecta, Hemiptera, Aphididae. The record is from RefSeq and is a predicted model, not a curated record. The transcript is spliced from 3 exons.